GGCCAGACUCCUACGGGAGGCAGCAGUGGGGAAUAUUGCACAAUGGGGGAAACCCUGAUGCAGCGACGCCGCGUGAGCGAUGAAGUAUUUCGGUAUGUAAAGCUCUAUCAGCAGGGAAGAAGAUGACGGUACCUGACUAAGAAGCCCCGGCUAACUACGUGCCAGCAGCCGCGGUAAUACGUAGGGGGCGAGCGUUAUCCGGAUUCACUGGGUGUAAAGGGAGCGUAGACGGCCGUGCAAGCCAGGAGUGGAAGCCCGGGGCCCAACCCCGGGACUGCUCUUGGAACUGUGCGGCUGGAGUGCGGGAGGGGCAGGCGGAAUUCCUGGUGUAGCGGUGAAAUGCGUAGAUAUCAGGAGGAACACCAGUGGCGAAGGCGGUCUGCUGGACAGUAACUGACGGUGAGGCGCGAAAGCGUGGGGAGCAGACAGGAUUAGAUACCCUAGUA
This 446-nucleotide ribosomal RNA is filed under the name uncultured bacterium. RNAcentral describes it as "bacterial SSU rRNA". It matches the Rfam family "Bacterial small subunit ribosomal RNA", at positions 329 to 792 of the family's 1533-position model. The record is from RNAcentral.